This 497-nucleotide ribosomal RNA is filed under the name uncultured bacterium. Its description in RNAcentral is "partial 16S ribosomal RNA". It matches the Rfam family "Bacterial small subunit ribosomal RNA", at positions 28 to 507 of the family's 1533-position model. The record is from RNAcentral.
GAUGAACGCUGGCGGCGUGCCUAAUACAUGCAAGUCGAGCGAACAGACGAGGAGCUUGCUCCUCUGACGUUAGCGGCGGACGGGUGAGUAACACGUGGAUAACCUACCUAUAAGACUGGGAUAACUUCGGGAAACCGGAGCUAAUACCGGAUAAUAUAUUGAACCGCAUGGUUCAAUAGUGAAAGACGGUUUUGCUGUCACUUAUAGAUGGAUCUGCGCCGCAUUAGCUAGUUGGUAAGGUAACAGCUUACCAAGGCAACGAUGCGUAGCCGACCUGAGAGGGUGAUCGGCCACACUGGAACUGAGACACGGUCCAGACUCCUACGGGAGGCAGCAGUAGGGAAUCUUCCGCAAUGGGCGAAAGCCUGACGGAGCAACGCCGCGUGAGUGAUGAAGGUCUUCGGAUCGUAAAACUCUGUUAUUAGGGAAGAACAAAUGUGUAAGUAACUAUGCACGUCUUGACGGUACCUAAUCAGAAAGCCACGGCUAACUACGUG